Molecule: ribosomal RNA, 408 nt
Filed under: uncultured bacterium
Lineage: Bacteria
Description: partial 16S ribosomal RNA
Rfam family: Bacterial small subunit ribosomal RNA
Source: RNAcentral
GACGAACGCUGGCGGCGUGCUUAACACAUGCAAGUCGAACGAAGUGGCGAACGGGUGAGUAACGCGUAAUCAACCUGCCCUUCAGAGGGGGACAACAGUUGGAAACGACUGCUAAUACCGCAUACUGAAGGAGGGGAUUGUGUCGGGUUAGCUCGUUGGAGGGGUAACGGCCCACCCAGGCGAUGAUCAGUAGCCGGGUUGAGAGGGUGAACGGCCACAGUGGGACUGGGGCACGGCCCAAGCUCCUACGGGAGGGAGCAGUGGGGAAUCUUCCGCAAUGGACGACAGUCUGACGGAGCAACGCCGCGUGAGUGAUGACGGCCUUCGGGUUGUAAAGCUCUGUUAAUCGGGACGCGGUACCGGAAUAGGAAGCCACGGCUAACUACGUGCCAGCAGCCGCGGUAAUAC